RNAcentral lists this ribosomal RNA (791 nucleotides) under uncultured archaeon. RNAcentral describes it as "bacterial SSU rRNA". It matches the Rfam family "Archaeal small subunit ribosomal RNA", at positions 85 to 879 of the family's 1478-position model. The record is from RNAcentral.
ACUGCUCAGUAACACGUGGAUAACCUGCCCAAGGGUCCGGGAUAACCCCGGGAAACUGGGGAUAAUACCGGAUGGAUCACUUAUGCUGGAAUGCUUGGUGGUCGAAAGGUGACGCCCUUGGAUGGGUCUGCGGCGGAUUAGGUUGACGCCGGUGUAACGUACCGGCGUGCCUGUAAUCCGUACGGGUUGUGGGAGCAAGAGCCCGGAGAUAGAUUCUGAGACACGAAUCCAGGCCCUACGGGGCGCAGCAGGCGCGAAAACUCUACAAUGCAGGCAACUGCGAUAGGGGGACAUCGAGUGGCAUCCACCUUGGGUGCCUGUCCCACCGUCUAAAAAACGGUGGUUAGCAAGGGCCGGGCAAGACCGGUGCCAGCCGCCGCGGUAAUACCGGCGGCUCGAGUGGAGGCCGAUAUUAUUGAGUCUAAAGGGUCCGUAGCCGGCUUUGCAAGUCCCCUGGGAAAUCCAGCGGCUUAACCGUUGGGCUUUCAUGGGAUACUACAUUGCUUGGGACUGGGAGAGGUAGGAGGUACUCGGGGGGUAGGGGUGAAAUCCUGUAAUCCCCCGGGGACCACCGGUGGCGAAGGCGUCCUACCAGAACAGGUCCGACGGUGAGGGACGAAAGCUAGGGGCACGAACCGGAUUAGAUACCCGGGUAGUCCUAGCCGUAAACGAUGCCCGCUAGGUGUCACGGCGGUCGUGAAUCGCCGUGGUGCCGUAGGGAAGCCGCGAAGCGGGCCACUUGGGAAGUACGGCCGCAAGGCUGAAACUUAAAGGAAUUGGCGGGGGAGCAC